RNAcentral lists this ribosomal RNA (468 nucleotides) under uncultured bacterium. RNAcentral describes it as "bacterial SSU rRNA". It matches the Rfam family "Bacterial small subunit ribosomal RNA", at positions 328 to 793 of the family's 1533-position model. The record is from RNAcentral.
UGACCAGACUCCUACGGGAGGCAGCAGUGAGGAAUAUUGGUCAAUGGCCGGAAGGCUGAACCAGCCAAGUCGCGUGAGGGAAUAAGGCCCUAUGGGUCGUAAACCUCUUUUGUCAGGGAGCAAAGGCGUCCACGUGUGGACGAGAGGAGAGUACCUGAAGAAAAAGCAUCGGCUAACUCCGUGCCAGCAGCCGCGGUAAUACGGAGGAUGCGAGCGUUAUCCGGAUUUAUUGGGUUUAAAGGGUGCGUAGGCGGAGUGUCAAGUCAGCGGUAAAAUUUCGGGGCUCAACCCCGUCGUGCCGUUGAAACUGUGUCCCUUGAGUGCGCGAAGGGUAGGCGGAAUGCGUGGUGUAGCGGUGAAAUGCAUAGAUAUCACGCAGAACUCCGAUCGCGAAGGCAGCGUACCGGCGCCAGACUGACGCUGAGGCACGAAAGCGUGGGGAUCGAACAGGAUUAGAUACCCGCGUAU